This 666-nucleotide long non-coding RNA is filed under the name Elaeis guineensis (African oil palm). RNAcentral's name for it is "long non-coding RNA (EGUI_LNC079528)". The record is from RNAcentral. Lineage: Eukaryota; Viridiplantae; Streptophyta; Magnoliopsida; Arecales; Arecaceae.
AACUAAUCUUGGAACGAACUUGGCUAACUCCAUGAAUUUAGCUUCAUAUUCUGCAAUGGAUCUGUUCCCAUAUUUCAGAUGAAUGAACUCCUGCUCUUUCUGUAUUCCGACACUUCGAGAAAAGUACUUGUCAAAGAAUUCAUCUCAAAAUCUCUCCCAAGUGAGUGAUAUCCUAUCGUAUUCAUAUUUUUGUUCAAGUAUACGCCACCAGUUGUAUGCCUCGCAUUAUAACAGAUAUACUGUGUAGCGGAUCUUCUCUUCAUCGUGGCAUUCUUGCACGGCGAAUGCCUUCUCUAUUUUCAUAAUCCAGUUAUCUGCUUCCAGUGGCUCGAUGGUCCCUUUGAAGGCUGGAGGGGGUAGCUUCUUAAACUCGACGAUAUUAUUUCUCUGCAUCGGAUGUUCUCCAUGUCCAGGUGUCGGUGGAAGAUGCUGAUGUGGCUGUGCAUGUUGUUGUUGAAGUAACUGUUGCUGUGUUUGAACUACUUCGAUCAGAGUUUGCAUUAGUUGAGUCAUGUUCGGCUCUUCCUGUACUGUCGGAGUAUUUUCAGUAGGAUCAAUGAUUCCCUCCUGCUGAGAUGUGCCGCUAUUCAAUUGGGGAGUGUUAUCACCAAGUGGAAUUUGAUGUCCCUCCUACCGCUCCUUGAGUAUUCUUCAUUCGUCGUGGAG